Non-coding RNA from Arachis ipaensis, 125 nucleotides. The record is from RefSeq and is a predicted model, not a curated record. Lineage: Eukaryota; Viridiplantae; Streptophyta; Magnoliopsida; Fabales; Fabaceae.
CAAAAACCCAACCAUCACAUCAAACAACAGAGCUCAUUUUAAUCAAUUCAAACAAUAAAUUAAAUUUAAAUUAAAUUAAAUUGAGUAAACAUCAGAACCAUCACUUUGAUAACAUUGAUGAUUUU